GAACGCUAGCGGCAGGCUUAACACAUGCAAGUCGAGGGUAUAGUUCUUCGGAAUUAGAGACCGGCGCACGGGUGCGUAACGCGUAUGCAAUCUACCUUCACAGAGGGAUAGCCCAGAGAAAUUUGGAUUAAUACCUCAUAGUAUAGCAGUUUCGCAUGAAACCACUAUUAAAGUCACAACGGUGAAAGAUGAGCAUGCGUCCCAUUAGCUAGUUGGUAAGGUAACGGCUUACCAAGGCAACGAUGGGUAGGGGUCCUGAGAGGGAGAUCCCCCACACUGGUACUGAGACACGGACCAGACUCCUACGGGAGGCAGCAGUGAGGAAUAUUGGACAAUGGGCGCAAGCCUGAUCCAGCCAUGCCGCGUGCAGGAUGACGGUCCUAUGGAUUGUAAACUGCUUUUAUACAGGAAGAAACACUACUUCGUGAAGUAGCUUGACGGUACUGUAAGAAUAAGGAUCGGCUAACUCCGUG
This 473-nucleotide ribosomal RNA is filed under the name uncultured bacterium. RNAcentral describes it as "bacterial SSU rRNA". It matches the Rfam family "Bacterial small subunit ribosomal RNA", at positions 31 to 507 of the family's 1533-position model. The record is from RNAcentral.